AGUGAACGCUGGCGGUAGGCCUAACACAUGCAAGUCGAACGGCAGCACAGUAAGAGCUUGCUCUUACGGGUGGCGAGUGGCGGACGGGUGAGGAAUACAUCGGAAUCUACUUUUUCGUGGGGGAUAACGUAGGGAAACUUACGCUAAUACCGCAUACGACCUACGGGUGAAAGCAGGGGAUCUUCGGACCUUGCGCGAUUGAAUGAGCCGAUGUCGGAUUAGCUAGUUGGCGGGGUAAAGGCCCACCAAGGCGACGAUCCGUAGCUGGUCUGAGAGGAUGAUCAGCCACACUGGAACUGAGACACGGUCCAGACUCCUACGGGAGGCAGCAGUGGGGAAUAUCGGACAAUGGGCGCAAGCCUGAUCCAGCCAUACUGCGUGGGUGAAGAAGGCCUUCGGGUUGUAAAGCCCUUUUGUUGGGAAAGAAAAGCAGCAGGUUAAUACCCCGCUGUUCUGACGGUACCCAAAGAAUAAGCACCGGCUAACUUCGUG
RNAcentral lists this ribosomal RNA (492 nucleotides) under uncultured bacterium. RNAcentral's name for it is "partial 16S ribosomal RNA". It matches the Rfam family "Bacterial small subunit ribosomal RNA", at positions 29 to 507 of the family's 1533-position model. The record is from RNAcentral.